This 65-nucleotide transfer RNA is filed under the name Cyrtodactylus soba. RNAcentral describes it as "tRNA-Trp". Lineage: Eukaryota; Metazoa; Chordata; Lepidosauria; Squamata; Gekkonidae. The record is from RNAcentral.
AAGUUUAGGUUAAACCAAACCAAGAGCCUUCAAAGCCCUAAACAAGAGACAUCCGCCCUCCUAAC